CCCAGACUCCUACGGGAGGCAGCAGUGGGGGAUAUUGCACAAUGGGGGGAACCCUGAUGCAGCGACGCCGCGUGGGUGAAGGAGCGUUUCGGCGCGUAAAGCCCUAUCGGCAGGGAAGAAGGAGGACGGUACCUGACUAAGAAGCCCCGGCUAACUACGUGCCAGCAGCCGCGGUAAUACGUAGGGGGCAAGCGUUAUCCGGAUUUACUGGGUGUAAAGGGGGCGCAGACGGCAGCGCAAGCCAGGAGUGAAAGCCCGGGGCCCAACCCCGGGACUGCUCUUGGAACUGCGCGGCUGGAGUGCAGGAGGGGCAGGCGGAAUUCCUGGUGUAGCGGUGAAAUGCGUAGAUAUUAGGAGGAACACCAGUGGCGAAGGCGGCCUGCUGGACGAUGACUGACGUUGAGGCUCGAAAGCGUGGGGAGCAAACAGGAUUAGAUACCCUCGUAC
RNAcentral lists this ribosomal RNA (447 nucleotides) under uncultured bacterium. Its description in RNAcentral is "partial 16S ribosomal RNA". It matches the Rfam family "Bacterial small subunit ribosomal RNA", at positions 330 to 793 of the family's 1533-position model. The record is from RNAcentral.